GAACUCAUCAUGUAAUUCAAUCUUGUAGAAUAGAGCAAGAUUUUAAGAAGCUAAGUCAACAUCAGUUGUUUGGACCAAUUAACCAUAUCGGGUGGUUGCUAAUAUUUGAAGAGUACAGAGUCUCCCUCAAUCAUCGAAGUACUCCCAAGAUUCACAAAUUAUUACACCCAUUCAGAUUAAAAUAUUCAAAACUGUUGCACAAAACAGAUGGUGUGGCAGCAAAUGACAUAUUUCUGAUCAUCAUAUUCAGGGGACUUCAACUCAUUUAUAAGCCUAUCUGAGUAGGAGCAGUUAUUGAGCCAAAAGUGCACCAAAUACAUGAAAUCCCAGAAACCAAGACAGCUCAACUGAGCUGAGCCUUAUCCCAUACUUAUGUAGGAUCAACUAUAUGAAUCUCCCUCUCCCGCUCCCACGUAAUCAAAUACCUUGCACCAAAGUUAAACCACAAAGACUUCAAUCCAUUUUAAUUACCACAUUUCAUGUGAUUGAAAAAUUAGUGAACUUGAACUUUAAAAACUCUGCAUGAGUCAACUUUUCAUAUUGAAAGCAAUUGUUCUAAAAUUUCUCAACAUGUCAAAUAAUAAGGGUAAAACAUUCAUUAGAAGGUUUUUUUUCGAGAACCUAAAUUAACAUUUAUUUAUUUAUUUAUUACAGGCAGUUAAUGUGGUGCACAAUUUCAAAGAAAUUUACUCAUAUAGGAAACACGAAUACACUGCAUCUAGCACUUUACCUUUCUUUAUCCUCUUGCACUUGAAACACUAAUCAGGAAGAAAAAGGUAUCGCCACUUCAAGUUAUCAAAAAUCAGAAAUACUUCAAACAUUUGUUGUGCCAUUAAUCAAAUAGAACUAGAUGGAAACAGCAGGAACAGAAACAGACUGGUCAAAAAAUACCCAUCAUCUAAAUGAUCUUCCUUGAUUAAAAAAAGAAAUAGGUGUUAUCAGCUAAGCACAUCAUAAAUAGAAAACUAUAUGGGAACUACACGAACCAAUGAGCUCGAAAUUUAAAGU
RNAcentral lists this small RNA (1008 nucleotides) under Olea europaea subsp. europaea. Lineage: Eukaryota; Viridiplantae; Streptophyta; Magnoliopsida; Lamiales; Oleaceae. The record is from RNAcentral.